AGGGUUUGAUCAUGGGCUCAGGAUGAACGCUGGCGGCGUGCUUAACACAUGCAAGUCGAACGAUGACUUCUGUGCUUGCACAGAAUGAUUAGUGGCGAACGGGUGAGUAACACGUGAGUAACCUGCCCCUGACUUCGGGAUAAGCCUGGGAAACCGGGUCUAAUACCGGAUACAACGGACCACCGCAUGGCGGUCCGUGGAAAGCUUUAUGCGGUUUUGGAUGGACUCGCGGCCUAUCAGCUUGUUGGUUGGGGUAAUGGCCCACCAAGGCGACGACGGGUAGCCGGCCUGAGAGGGUGACCGGCCACACUGGGACUGAGACACGGCCCAGACUCCUACGGGAGGCAGCAGUGGGGGAUUAUUGCACAAUGGGCGGAAGCCUUGAUGCAGCGACGCCGCGUGAGGGACGAAUGCCUUCGGGUUGUUAAACCCUCUUUUCAGCAGGGAAGAANCCGAAAGUUGACGGGU
Molecule: ribosomal RNA, 468 nt
Filed under: uncultured Actinomycetes bacterium
Lineage: Bacteria; Bacillati; Actinomycetota; Actinomycetes
Description: bacterial SSU rRNA
Rfam family: Bacterial small subunit ribosomal RNA
Source: RNAcentral